Molecule: ribosomal RNA, 495 nt
Filed under: uncultured bacterium
Lineage: Bacteria
Description: partial 16S ribosomal RNA
Rfam family: Bacterial small subunit ribosomal RNA
Source: RNAcentral
AUGAACGCUGGCGGCGUGCCUAAUACAUGCAAGCCGAGCGAACGGACGAGAAGCUUGCUUCUCUGAUGUUAGCGGCGGACGGGUGAGUAACACGUGGAUAACCUACCUAUAAGACUGGGAUAACUUCGGGAAACCGGAGCUAAUACCGGAUAAUAUUUUGAACCGCAUGGUUCAAAAGUGAAAGACGGUCUUGCUGUCACUUAUAGAUGGAUCCGCGCUGCAUUAGCUAGUUGGUAAGGUAACGGCUUACCAAGGCAACGAUGCAUAGCCGACCUGAGAGGGUGAUCGGCCACACUGGAACUGAGACACGGUCCAGACUCCUACGGGAGGCAGCAGUAGGGAAUCUUCCGCAAUGGGCGAAAGCCUGACGGAGCAACGCCGCGUGAGUGAUGAAGGUCUUCGGAUCGUAAAACUCUGUUAUUAGGGAAGAACAUAUGUGUAAGUAACUGUGCACAUCUUGACGGUACCUAAUCAGAAAGCCACGGCUAACUACGU